RNAcentral lists this transfer RNA (75 nucleotides) under Coriobacteriaceae bacterium. RNAcentral describes it as "tRNA-Glu". It matches the Rfam family "tRNA". From Rfam's summary of the family: Transfer RNA (tRNA) molecules are approximately 80 nucleotides in length. Their secondary structure includes four short double-helical elements and three loops (D, anti-codon, and T loops). Lineage: Bacteria; Bacillati; Actinomycetota; Coriobacteriia; Coriobacteriales; Coriobacteriaceae. The record is from RNAcentral.
GGCCCUGUGGUCAAGAGGUCAAGACGGCACCCUCUCAAGGUGCAAUCACGGGUUCGAUUCCCGUCAGGGUCACCA